CCAAAAAGACGGCUGACCUUCGUCAGAAAAGGCAGUUGGGUUGAUCAGUGUUCCGGAGUGUGUCAAAAAAGUGCCUCGGAACACACCAAAGCGACAAGACGUAAUGCAUCUCCAUGACAGCAGGCGGCGCUAAUCUGUGUUGUCGCCCAAAAAUGAUAACCAGCAGCCGAUUGGACGAACCCGUUACGUGGGUCUGGCUUCUUCGUAAAUUCAAAGCCACACUAUCAUGGCGGCUUGUUCAGAAUACGAUCUCAUAUUUUACUGAAAUAGUUAUACUACCGAAACGUGUUUCUGAAAACAUUUAAAGCAAGAAAUAGGCCAUGCAGUUCCUGAGUCUGUCUUCAUUCCAGAUUGACAAAGGUCAGUUUAACAGAUUUUCAUUUGAUUUUGAGACUCUAGUCACACUCCUCCCACUCGCCGUUUCUU
Molecule: long non-coding RNA, 426 nt
Organism: Etheostoma cragini (Arkansas darter)
Lineage: Eukaryota; Metazoa; Chordata; Actinopteri; Perciformes; Percidae
Exons: 3
Source: RefSeq, a predicted model, not a curated record